GACGAACGCUGGCGGCGUGCCUAACACAUGCAAGUCGAACGGGGUUGUUCCUUCGGGGACAACUUAGUGGCGAACGGGUGAGUAACGCGUGAGAAACCUGCCUUUCAGUGGGGGACAACAGUUGGAAACGACUGCUAAUACCGCAUAACGUAUUUUUAGGGCAUCCUUAAAAUACCAAAGAUUUAUUGCUGAAAGAUGGUCUCGCGUCUGAUUAGCUAGAUGGCGGGGUAACGGCCCACCAUGGCGACGAUCAGUAGCCGGUCUGAGAGGAUGAACGGCCACAUUGGGACUGAGAUACGGCCCAGACUCCUACGGGAGGCAGCAGUGGGGAAUAAUUGGGCAAUGGGGGAAACCCUGACCCAGCAACGCCGCGUGAAGGAAG
This 382-nucleotide ribosomal RNA is filed under the name uncultured bacterium. RNAcentral describes it as "bacterial SSU rRNA". It matches the Rfam family "Bacterial small subunit ribosomal RNA", at positions 28 to 410 of the family's 1533-position model. The record is from RNAcentral.